Molecule: ribosomal RNA, 468 nt
Filed under: uncultured Acholeplasma sp.
Lineage: Bacteria; Bacillati; Mycoplasmatota; Mollicutes; Acholeplasmatales; Acholeplasmataceae
Description: bacterial SSU rRNA
Rfam family: Bacterial small subunit ribosomal RNA
Source: RNAcentral
UUGACGGGACCCCGCACAAGCGGUGGAUCAUGUUGUUUAAUUUCGAUGAUACGCGAAGAACCUUACCAGGUCUUGACAUCCCCCGCGAUGCUUUAGAGAUAAAGCGGAGGUAUUCGGGGAGACAGGUGGUGCAUGGUUGUCGUCAGCUCGUGUCGUGAGAUGUUGGGUUAAGUCCCGCAACGAGCGCAACCCUAUUGCUAGUUACCAUCAUUAAGUUUGGGGACUCUAGCGAGACUGCCAGUGAUAAACUGGAGGAAGGUGGGGAUGACGUCAAAUCAUCAUGCCCCUUAUGACCUGGGCUACAAACGUGAUACAAUGGCUGGAACAAAGGGAUGCGAAGCAGUGAUGUGGAGCGAAACCCAUAAAAACAGUCUCAGUUCGGAUUGAAGUCUGCAACUCGACUUCAUGAAGUCGGAAUCGCUAGUAAUCGCGGAUCAGAACGCCGCGGUGAAUACGUUCUCGGGGUUU